Molecule: ribosomal RNA, 119 nt
Filed under: Peromyscus maniculatus bairdii (prairie deer mouse)
Lineage: Eukaryota; Metazoa; Chordata; Mammalia; Rodentia; Cricetidae
Source: RNAcentral
CAGUCACACCAUCCUGCACACACCUGAUUUCAGAAGCUAAACUGGGUUGGGCCUGGUCAGGACUUGGAUGGGAAGAAGACCACUUAAUUCUCAGUCUAUAGCCCAGGCUGAAUUUCUGU